UAGGGAAUCUUCCACAAUGGACGCAAGUCUGAUGGAGCAACGCCGCGUGAGUGAAGAAGGUCUUCGGAUCGUAAAACUCUGUUGUUAGAGAAGAACACGAGUGAGAGUAACUGUUCAUUCAGGUGACGGUAUCUAACCAGCAAGUCACGGCUAACUACGUGCCAG
RNAcentral lists this ribosomal RNA (165 nucleotides) under uncultured bacterium. RNAcentral's name for it is "partial 16S rRNA". It matches the Rfam family "Bacterial small subunit ribosomal RNA", at positions 355 to 511 of the family's 1533-position model. The record is from RNAcentral.